This 886-nucleotide ribosomal RNA is filed under the name fungal endophyte. RNAcentral describes it as "eukaryotic LSU rRNA". The stretch from base 137 to 290 matches the Rfam family "5.8S ribosomal RNA". Lineage: Eukaryota; Fungi. The record is from RNAcentral.
GUGGGAGACUUCCGUCUGCUACCUCUUACCCAUGUCUUUUGAGUACCUUCGUUUCCUCGGCGGGUCCGCCCGCCGGUUGGACAACAUUCAAACCCUUUGCAGAUGCAAUCAGCGUCUGAAAAAACAUAAUAGUUACAACUUUCAACAACGGAUCUCUUGGUUCUGGCAUCGAUGAAGAACGCAGCGAAAUCCGAUAAGUAGUGUGAAUUGCAGAAUUCAGUGAAUCAUCGAUUCUUUGAACGCACAUUGCGCCCCUUGGUAUUCCAUGGGGCAUGCCUGUUCGAGCGUCAUUUGUACCUUCAAGCUCUGCUUGGUGUUGGGUGUUUUGUCUCGCCUCCGCGUGUAGACUCGCCUUAAAACAAUUGGCAGCCGGCGUAUUGAUUUCGGAGCGCAGUACAUCUCGCGCUUUGCACUCAUAACGACGACGUCCAAAAGUACAUUUUUACACUCUUGACCUCGGAUCAGGUAGGGAUACCCGCUGAACUUAAGCAUAUCAAUAAGCGGAAGGAUCAUUACUAUAGUUUGCGACUUCGUCGCUACUCUUACCAUGUCUUUUGAGUACUUCUUUCUCGGCGGGUCGCCGCGGUUGGAAACAUUCAACUUUGCGUGCAUACUCGAAAAAAAUAAUAUUCAACUUUACACGAUCCUGGUUUGGCAUCAGAAAAAAACAAAUGGAUAAUAUGGAAUGAAAUCGAAUACAAUCUUAAGCAUUGCCUGGUAUUCGGGGCCGCGUUCACUAUUGUCUUCGCUCGCUGGUGUUGGGUGUUUGUCUCCCCGCAAUCAUAAACAUUGCGCGCUAUGGAUUUCUACAAAUCGCUGUGUCUAAGCACUAAAUAAUUUUACCUCUGACUCGAUCGGUAGGAUCCCUGAACUUACAACUAUGCGC